UACGUAGGGGGCAAGCGUUGUCCGGAAUCAUUGGGCGUAAAGCGCGUGUAGGCGGCUAGAUAAGUCUGCUCUGAAAGCCCGGGGCUCAACCCCGGGAGGCGGGUGGAUACUGUCUAGCUCGAGUCCGGAAGAGGAGUGUGGAAUUCCUGGUGUAGCGGUGAAAUGCGCAGAUAUCAGGAGGAACACCAAUGGCGAAGGCAGCACUCUGGGACGUGACUGACGCUGAGACGCGAAAGCUAGGGGAGCAAACAGG
Molecule: ribosomal RNA, 253 nt
Filed under: uncultured bacterium
Lineage: Bacteria
Description: partial 16S ribosomal RNA
Rfam family: Bacterial small subunit ribosomal RNA
Source: RNAcentral